CUUUCCUAAGACCUGCUGAUAAAGUUCACCUAUGUGUAUUCCACCUCUUCACUCCAGGUGUUGAUAAUGACGCUGGAAUCGAAAAUAUGAGAAAAAUCCGAUAAACUUUACCUUGUUGAGUAUGAGGAAAGGAAAACUUUUGAAAUCACCGUAGAGAACAUCACUAGCAGAGAGAACAGGAACUAAAUUUAGGAUACUGAGCUGGUAGGUCGAUUGUGGCAGUGUGGUGGUGGAUUUUGGGUUUGGUACCAGCUAGAUUCGACUACCCUAUUCCAUUUAAGCAACCCCAGCACAAACUAAAUGCCAUAUGUGCUACGGAGCAUUCAGAUUGUCUAUGUGCUGUACCAAUAGAUGCUGGGGCGCAGACUUGAGCUGAGGUCGAGUAAUAUAUAGCAGGACUGACUCACCUGGAGAUCCCGCCCGCCCCGUCUAGGACAGGUGUCCACAGGGGUACAGGUAUGACCCGCUUUUGGAUAUAAAAACUGGAAUUUGCCCGAAAAUCCGGGGCUUUGAUAUCCGGCGGUCAGAAGAUCUACGGAGCUCGGAGUGGACUCGGUACUCCUAUCCGGGAUCUGGUUGUUAUUAUUACUCCCGGUAGGGUUUAAGUGUUACUACACCACCUCGAGCUCGGGGAUGAACCUCGGAGAAACCUCUAGCAGCUCCAAGCACGAGGGAAAACACGCGGCAAUUUAACAGGAGCGCAAGGACGACUUUGUCUGACCACUCGAGCUCUAGAGCCGGCGAUAAGCAAUCCGCGGGAAAUAACCAGGAGACCAGAGUUUAGGAGUUCGCUGUGUUAUUUCCGAGAAAAGCCAAAGUUUUGCGCAGACUCUGCUGCUUUGAUGGUAUUGGAGUACGUCGAUGUCUAGAAUAUUUCAAUUUAUCUUUCGUAAAGGAGAAGAAAAAGAAGACGGCACUGAUACUGAAAUUACAAAUAAAUUUUAUAAAAAGCCCUGCAACUUACUGAAUUAUCAAGAAACGUUGAAAUUGAUGCGUAAUCCUUUUAAUAAACGUAAUGAAUCAUCUGAAGCAGAAAUGAGAGUGAAUAAAUUCAAGAGGAAAUGAUAAUUUUAUGUCGGAUGGAUGGAAACGUAGUGAAAUGAUAAAAACAAAGCACUUCCAUGUACAACUUACACGAGAAUGCUGAUUAGAUACUUAUCCAGAUUUCAUUUAUCAAGCUCAAUU
This is a long non-coding RNA of Cotesia glomerata, 1185 nucleotides long. RefSeq lists it as uncharacterized. The record is from RefSeq and is a predicted model, not a curated record. The transcript has 5 exons. NCBI's taxonomy places the organism in Eukaryota, Metazoa, Arthropoda, Insecta, Hymenoptera, Braconidae.